Long non-coding RNA from Castor canadensis (American beaver), 413 nucleotides. RefSeq lists it as uncharacterized. The record is from RefSeq and is a predicted model, not a curated record. Lineage: Eukaryota; Metazoa; Chordata; Mammalia; Rodentia; Castoridae.
UAACGUUCCCCAGGAGCCGUUGCCUGUACCUGUCGCUCGGUUCCCAGGGCGCCAGCCUCGGGUGGAAGGCUGGGUCACCCGCGCCGGGCAAUACGCGUCCGUACAGCCUGUUUCCAGCAGUUCUGCGGCAGACCAGACUCCUGGCUUCUGAGUCCUUUACCUCGCUUGGCCUUGGCACCAACAGUGCGACUUUGCGGCUGUCACUUCGCCCCCUCCUCGGCCGAAGGUUGAACUUGAGCCCUUUUCUACUGGUCUUUUACUUUGCAGGCUCCUGGUCUUCUGAAAAAUAUGCAGGGUCUUGCUAUGUACCUAGACUGGCCUAGACUUGAGAUCUUCCUUCCUCCCCCUCCCAAGUGCUGAGAUUACGGAUAUGUACCACCACACCAUGCCUGGCUGCAUUUGUUCUUUAAGCA